Molecule: ribosomal RNA, 117 nt
Filed under: Micromonospora pisi
Lineage: Bacteria; Bacillati; Actinomycetota; Actinomycetes; Micromonosporales; Micromonosporaceae
Also listed under: 6 other names
Source: RNAcentral
UACGGCGGUUAUAGCGGUGGGGAAACGCCCGGUUACAUUCCGAACCCGGAAGCUAAGCCCUCCAGCGCCGAUGGUACUGCACUCGGGAGGGUGUGGGAGAGUAGGACGCCGCCGGAC